This 253-nucleotide ribosomal RNA is filed under the name uncultured bacterium. Its description in RNAcentral is "partial 16S ribosomal RNA". It matches the Rfam family "Bacterial small subunit ribosomal RNA", at positions 524 to 776 of the family's 1533-position model. The record is from RNAcentral.
UACGAAGGGGGCUAGCGUUGUUCGGAGUUACUGGGCGUAAAGGGCGCGUAGGCGGCCCUCCAAGUCGGGCGUGAAAGCCCACGGCUCAACCGUGGAAUUGCGCUCGAGACUGAAGGGCUCGAGGACGGGAGAGGAUGGUGGAAUUCCCAGUGUAGCAGUGAAAUGCGUAGAUAUCGGGAGGAAUACCGAUGGCGAAGGCAGGUCUCUGGGCUGACACUGACGCUCAUGCACGAAAGCGUGGGGAGCAAACAGG